Molecule: ribosomal RNA, 648 nt
Filed under: uncultured bacterium
Lineage: Bacteria
Description: bacterial SSU rRNA
Rfam family: Bacterial small subunit ribosomal RNA
Source: RNAcentral
ACGGCUCACCAAGGCAAUGAUGGGUAGCUGGUCUGAGAGGACGAUCAGCCACACUGGAACUGAGACACGGUCCAGACUCCUACGGGAGGCAGCAGUGGGGAAUAUUGCGCAAUGGGCGAAAGCCUGACGCAGCAACGCCGCGUGGGGGAUGAAGGUUCUCGGAUUGUAAACCCCUUUCGAUCGGAACGAAUCCCCUCCUGGUAAAUAAUCAGGAGGAUCGACGGUACCGAGAGAAGAAGCCACGGCUAACUCUGUGCCAGCAGCCGCGGUAAGACAGAGGUGGCGAGCGUUGUUCGGAUUUAUUGGGCGUAAAGCGAACGCAGGUGGUUUGGUAAGUCAGGGGUGAAAGACCACAGCUUAACUGUGGCAUUGCCUUUGAUACUGCCUUUCUUGAGUAGAGUAGGGGGAAGCGGAAUUCCGAGUGUAGAGGUGAAAUUCGUAGAUAUUCGGAGGAACACCGGUGGCGAAGGCGGCUUCCUGGACUCUAACUGACACUCAUGUUCGAAAGCGUGGGGAGCAAACAGGAUUAGAUACCCUGGUAGUCCACGCCCUAAACGAUGGGCACUAGGUGUGGGAGGUAUCGACCCCUUCCGUGCCGCAGCUAACGCAUUAAGUGCCCCGCCUGGGGAGUACGGCCGCAAGGUUGAA